GCUGGGUAGGAGAGCGUCCCCUGCGGGGCGAAGCGGCGGAGGAAUCCUGCCGUGGACCGUUGGGGAGUGAGAAUGCAGACAUGAGUAGCGAGAGGCGGGUGAAGAUCCCGCCCGCUGGAUGACCAAGGGUUCCAGGGCCACGUUCAUCGUCCCUGGGUGAGUCGGGUCCUAAGGCGAGGCCGACAGGCGUAGUCGAAUGGAUGAACGGGUCGAUAUUCCCGUACCGGCUUUCAGCCGCCAAAACCGAAAGGGUGAGCACUAACCUCCGCGUCGUCGUCUCCCCGGCCUUCGGGCCUGGGUCGCGGCGUCGUGUUGGGACCGUAGCCCCGGUAGGUCAGCGCAGGAGUGACGCAGAAGGGUAGCCGGCCGCGGAGGUGGUUUUCCGUGGCCAAGCACGCAGCCCGUCCCCCAGGCAAAUCCGGGGGGCAUGAGGGCGAGGUGCGAUGGUGGGGCCCGUAUGGGCCGAAUCCGGUGAUCCCGGCUGCCGAGAAAAGCUUCGGCGUCAGGCUGUCAGCCGCCCGUACCCCAAACCGACACUGGUGGUCAGGUAGAGAAUACCAAAGCGAUCGAGCGAAUCCUGGUCAAGGAACUCGGCAAAUUACUCCCGUGCCUUCGGUAUAAGGGAGACCCCUGCGGGUGAACCAGCUAGCCUGGGGAGCGUGCGGGGGUGGCACAGACCAGGGGGUAGCGACUGUUUACCAAAAACACAGGAGCGUGCGAAGACGUAAGUCGCUGUAUACGCUCUGACGCCUGCCCGGUGCCGGAAGGUUAAGAGGAUCCGUCAUCCCUUCGGGGGGCAGCGGUGAAUUCAAGCCCCGGUAAACGGCGGUGGUAACUAUAACCAUCCUAAGGUAGCGAAAUUCCUUGUCGGGUAAGUUCCGACCUGCACGAAUGGCGUAACGACUUCCCCACUGUCUCGACCAGGAGCUCGGCGAAAUUGCAGUACGAGUAAAGAUGCUCGUUAAGCGCAGAAGGACGAAAAGACCCCGGGACCUUUACUAUACCUUGGUAUUGGCAUUAGGCGCGGAUUGUGUAGCAUAGGCGGGAGGCUUCGAAGCGGGUGCGCCAGCAUCCGUGGAGCCGCAGGUGAAAUACCGCUCUGUUCUCGUUUGAUGUCUAACCUCGACAAGUCAUCCUUGUCAGGGACAGUGCCUGGCGGGUAGUUUAACUGGGGCGGUUGCCUCCCAAAGAGUAACGGAGGCGCUCAAAGGUCCGCUCAGCCCGGUUGGCAAUCGGGUGUCGAGUGCAAUCGCACAAGCGGGCUUGACUGCGAGACCGACGGGUCGAGCAGGGACGAAAGUCGGAGAUAGUGAUCCGGUGCCGGCGUACGGACGCGGCAUCGCUCAACGGAUAAAAGGUACCCCGGGGAUAACAGGCUGAUCAUUCCCAAGAGUCCAUAUCGACGGGAUGGUUUGGCACCUCGAUGUCGGCUCGUCGCAUCCUGGGGCUGGAGCAGGUCCCAAGGGUUCGGCUGUUCGCCGAUUAAAGCGGCACGCGAGCUGGGUUCAGAACGUCGUGAGACAGUUUGGUCUCUAUCCUCUGCGCUCGUCGGAACCUUGAGGAGGCCUGCCCAUAGUACGAGAGGACCUGGGUGGACGAACCUCUGGUAUGCCAGUCGUCACGCCAGUGGCGCGGCUGGUUGGCUACGUUCGGAAGGGAUAACCGCUGAAAGCAUCUAAGCGGGAAGCCUGCUCCAAGAUAAGGGUUCCAUGGAUCCUCGGAUCCUGUAGUCCCCAUGCAGAACACGUGGUUGAUAGGCCGGACGUGGAAGCCCCGCGAGGGGUGGAGCUGACCGGUACUAACGGACGAGGGGCAAUCUAC
RNAcentral lists this ribosomal RNA (1821 nucleotides) under Bifidobacterium pullorum subsp. gallinarum DSM 20670. RNAcentral describes it as "bacterial LSU rRNA". It matches the Rfam family "Bacterial large subunit ribosomal RNA", at positions 1223 to 2925 of the family's 2925-position model. The record is from RNAcentral. Lineage: Bacteria; Bacillati; Actinomycetota; Actinomycetes; Bifidobacteriales; Bifidobacteriaceae.